This is a small nuclear RNA of Macadamia integrifolia, 127 nucleotides long. The record is from RefSeq and is a predicted model, not a curated record. NCBI's taxonomy places the organism in Eukaryota, Viridiplantae, Streptophyta, Magnoliopsida, Proteales, Proteaceae.
GUGUUCGUUGAAAGGAGAGACGAUUGGCAUCUCCACUGAUAAGGAUAGGAAAAAUUUUCGAGCUUACUUUGUACCACACAUCUAGUUAACGUUACCCACUUCAGUAGAUCUUAUACCCAAAUUUUUA